GUACGACAGCAAAGUUCCUUGAUUAUUACACCGGAAUGAGAGUAUAGUUCCUAGCCAUAUCGGCCUAGAAAAUCACAACUUUUCAUUUUCCGUCGGUCUUAGUACAUGAUGUAACUACAGAAGAGUCAAGUUUUAAAUAGGAAAAAUAUUGAAACUCUUUGGUCAUUUUUUAACGAGAUGCUAACGGUCUAAUCCGAUUCAAUGAACUAUGCUAAGCUAUGCAAAAAGUGGUACCGCCAGACCCGGAGAUCUGCUGAAUGGAUUCGAAAACGGUAAAACUCAACUGUUUAACUCUAGGGGAGUUGGAAAAUGAGCCUAUUUUCAAAAAAAGCGAAGUGUUCCUUUAAUAAGGAUGUGCAUGUUUUAUUAUCGGAUAAGGUAAGGUUCUCUUUAUGUGGUUGAGUUUUAACUCUUGGCUGAACUUGUGCAGCUGUAUCCUGUGAGAUUAUUCUGUAUUUAUUCAGCUGUCUUCAAAGAACCCCAAUCAUCAAAUGAUACACUGGAAAUUACUACAUAGGGUUUACUUGACUCCUAUGUAAUGUUUCUAUAUAAAUCUAUCCUCCUCUCCUAAGUGUAAUCUCUGUUUUUAAGGAUCUCUAGACAUGUACUUGCACUUCUUUUGGGAUUGUCCCUCUCUCUCACCUUUUUGGACCCAGCUCUCACAGGAUCAUAUCUGUUAGGCACUGAUAUAUGUUUGACUCCACGCCACUUUUUUUUAAAUGAUUUUUGGGACCUUGCAUUAUCCACUCAACAAAGGUGUUAAAAAAAAAUGUUAGUCAACUGUUGGAAUCCUCCUCACACAAUGGACAGACGAACGUGGACAGUGUCUUUGUUUCAUGGAUCCAAUGUUAAGACUGUGAAUUUAUGAGGCUGUAAGAAGAAAUCCUGUAUGUGCACAGACAACUGAGCUGAAGGUCGAAAAAGUUAUUAAACGGUGGUUUCAUCUAGAUGGUGACCUCAUGUGAUCUCAUGAGAAUACAUAUGUGUUUUCAUGGAAAGUGUGGUUCUACCAUGUACAUAUACUUACGUUUUCAUACAUAAUAAUACGCAAUACACCUUGUAACUAAAACGUUAAUUAUUGACAGCACUGAAACAAAUUAUUUACAUAAUGAACAACUUUACAGACCUACAAAUGCGUACAAAUUUCUAUUCAUGAAUAUUAAAAUCAUGGCAAUAAUGUUUUGAAUCUAUUGUGUUUAACUGUCAAUUAAAUGUUUUAAGUCACGUUUAUUAAAUGCUGAUUCAUCUACUUAA
Long non-coding RNA from Ctenopharyngodon idella (grass carp), 1254 nucleotides. RefSeq lists it as uncharacterized. The transcript is spliced from 2 exons. Lineage: Eukaryota; Metazoa; Chordata; Actinopteri; Cypriniformes; Xenocyprididae. The record is from RefSeq and is a predicted model, not a curated record.